This 527-nucleotide long non-coding RNA is filed under the name Panax ginseng (ginseng). RNAcentral's name for it is "long non-coding RNA (PGIN_LNC018484)". The record is from RNAcentral. Lineage: Eukaryota; Viridiplantae; Streptophyta; Magnoliopsida; Apiales; Araliaceae.
ACAAAUGAUGACUGAAAAUUAGAAGCCAUUUAAUUCAUAGUUUCAUACAUCUUUAGUAACAAACUUUGAACAGAAAACACAACAACAUUACAAGCAAAUCUAAUUCCAGACACCGUCUCUACAGAGAGAGCCUGUUUAAAACAAAAAAAAAUAAGAAAAGGGACCAAGAACAUAUCUAUGAUUUUUACCCACGUUGAGUCCUCGAUCCAAAUCCAUCGCUUGUCCAUAUUGCGAGAGACGAGAGUGGAUUUAUCGAAGCGGUGGGUCCGGUGGAUAUUAUAAGCCUUCAUCAUCGAUAUGCUGAAAUCGGGAGAUACUAGUGGUGAAAUCUGUGAUCUGAGAGUUUGAUGCUUGUGAUUAGUAGAGAGAGAAAGCGAGAGGAACCGAGGAAGAGAAGGAAGGGGUGAAGGUGCCGGAGGAGAGAUGAGAGAUCGAGAGGGGUGAGUUAUUGGGGUUUAUUGUGAAAGGGGGAAUAAUCAUUUGGGGCGAAGGUGCUGGAGUAGAGAGGAACUGAGAUGGAAGAUGAG